ACCAGGAUGGCCGAAUGGUUAAGGCGUUGCACUCAAGAUGCAAUGGACAGUUGUCCUCAUGGGUUCAAAUUCCUUUCCUGGUA
This 83-nucleotide transfer RNA is filed under the name Perca fluviatilis (European perch). It matches the Rfam family "tRNA". Rfam says of the family: Transfer RNA (tRNA) molecules are approximately 80 nucleotides in length. Lineage: Eukaryota; Metazoa; Chordata; Actinopteri; Perciformes; Percidae. The record is from Rfam by way of RNAcentral.